AGAACGAACGCUGGCGGCAUGCCUAAUACAUGCAAGUCGAACGAACUCUUCGGAGUUAGUGGCGCACGGGUGCGUAACGCGUGGGAAUCUGCCCCUUGGUUCGGAAUAACAGUUGGAAACGACUGCUAAUACCGGAUGAUGACGAAAGUCCAAAGAUUUAUCGCCAAGGGAUGAGCCCGCGUAGGAUUAGCUAGUUGGUGAGGUAAGGGCUCACCAAGGCAAACGAUCCUUAGCUGGUCUGAGAGGACGAUCAGCCACACUGGGACUGAGACGACGGCCAGACUCCUACGGGAGGCGGCAGUAGGGAAUUUUGGACAAUGGGACGAAAGCCUGAUCCAGCAAUGCGCGUGCAAGGAA
Molecule: ribosomal RNA, 357 nt
Filed under: uncultured soil bacterium
Lineage: Bacteria
Description: bacterial SSU rRNA
Rfam family: Bacterial small subunit ribosomal RNA
Source: RNAcentral